Molecule: ribosomal RNA, 253 nt
Filed under: uncultured bacterium
Lineage: Bacteria
Description: partial 16S ribosomal RNA
Rfam family: Bacterial small subunit ribosomal RNA
Source: RNAcentral
UACGGAGGAUCCAAGCGUUAUCCGGAUUUAUUGGGUUUAAAGGGUGCGUAGGCGGGAUUUUAAGUCAGUGGUGAAAGUUUGCGGCUCAACCGUAAAAUUGCCAUUGAAACUGAAGUUCUUGAGUACAAAUGAGGUAGGCGGAAUGUGUUGUGUAGCGGUGAAAUGCAUAGAUAUAACACAGAACACCAAUUGCGAAGGCAGCUUACUGGGAUGUAACUGACGCUGAGGCACGAAAGCGUGGGGAUCAAACAGG